AAAAGUUGUAUUUAAUGGAAAAGGUUAGAUUACAAAUCUAAAAAUAUGAGUUCAAGUCUCAUCAACUUUUU
Molecule: transfer RNA, 71 nt
Filed under: Nemania diffusa
Lineage: Eukaryota; Fungi; Ascomycota; Sordariomycetes; Xylariales; Xylariaceae
Description: tRNA-Cys
Rfam family: tRNA
About the family: Transfer RNA (tRNA) molecules are approximately 80 nucleotides in length. Their secondary structure includes four short double-helical elements and three loops (D, anti-codon, and T loops). Further hydrogen bonds mediate the characteristic L-shaped molecular structure. tRNAs have two regions of fundamental functional importance: the anti-codon, which is responsible for specific mRNA codon recognition, and the 3' end, to which the tRNAs corresponding amino acid is attached (by aminoacyl-tRNA synthetases). tRNAs cope with the degeneracy of the genetic code in two manners: having more than one tRNA (with a specific anti-codon) for a particular amino acid; and 'wobble' base-pairing, i.e. permitting non-standard base-pairing at the 3rd anti-codon position.
Source: RNAcentral